AUUGAACGCUGGCGGCAGGCCUAACACAUGCAAGUCGAACGGUAACAGGAAGAAGCUUGCUUCUUUGCUGACGAGUGGCGGACGGGUGAGUAAUGUCUGGGAAACUGCCUGAUGGAGGGGGAUAACUACUGGAAACGGUAGCUAAUACCGCAUAAUGUCGCAAGACCAAAGAGGGGGACCUUCGGGCCUCUUGCCAUCGGAUGUGCCCAGAUGGGAUUAGCUAGUAGGUGGGGUAACGGCUCACCUAGGCGACGAUCCCUAGCUGGUCUGAGAGGAUGACCAGCCACACUGGAACUGAGACACGGUCCAGACUCCUACGGGAGGCAGCAGUGGGGAAUAUUGCGCAAUGGGCGCAAGCCUGAUGCAGCCAUGCCGCGUGUAUGAAGAAGGCCUUCGGGUUGUAAAGUACUUUCAGCGGGGAGGAAGGGAGUAAAGUUAAUACCUUUGCUCAUUGACGUUACCCGCAGAAGAAGCACCGGCUAACUCCGUG
RNAcentral lists this ribosomal RNA (490 nucleotides) under uncultured bacterium. RNAcentral describes it as "partial 16S ribosomal RNA". It matches the Rfam family "Bacterial small subunit ribosomal RNA", at positions 30 to 507 of the family's 1533-position model. The record is from RNAcentral.